Molecule: ribosomal RNA, 253 nt
Filed under: uncultured bacterium
Lineage: Bacteria
Description: partial 16S ribosomal RNA
Rfam family: Bacterial small subunit ribosomal RNA
Source: RNAcentral
UACGUAGGGGGCAAGCGUUGUCCGGAAUUAUUGGGCGUAAAGAGCGUGUAGGCGGUCCGGUAAGUCAGCUGUGAAAGUCAAGGGCUCAACCCUUGAAAGCCGGUUGAUACUGUCGGGCUAGAGUCCGGAAGAGGCGAGUGGAAUUCCCGGUGUAGCGGUGAAAUGCGCAGAUAUCGGGAGGAACACCAAUGGCGAAGGCAGCUCGCUGAGACGGUACUGACGCUGAGACGCGAAAGCGUGGGGAGCAAACAGG